This 1918-nucleotide small RNA is filed under the name Pan troglodytes (chimpanzee). Its description in RNAcentral is "retained intron". Lineage: Eukaryota; Metazoa; Chordata; Mammalia; Primates; Hominidae. The record is from RNAcentral.
GGCAGAGACCAUGGAGCUUGGCAGCAGAGGAGGGGGGCUGCAUGGGGCUCAGUCCACCCCUGUGAAAAAUCCUCCCCACUGCCCGCUACCUCUCACCCUGCAGCCAUUGCCCUGCUGAAGGACAAGGACCCUGGGGCCUUCCUGAUCAGGGACAGUCAUUCAUUCCAAGGAGCUUAUGGGCUGGCCCUCAAGGUGGCCACACCGCCACCCAGUGCCCAGCCCUGGAAAGGUACAGAACACCCAAACCUGAGUGGGGUGGGGAUGAAGUUGGGGGUGGUGCCAGAGGCAAGGUAACAGGGCGGGUGGGGGUGCUGUGCUGGCCAUGCCGCUGUGGAGGGGAGAGGUAGGAAAAGACCUCAGCUGCUCGGGAAAGAAUCCCAUUAGGGAAGAAGCUGGAACCUGGAAUCCUAAAGCCGCAAUCUUCCCCUCUCCUCCUCUCAGGGGACCCCGUGGAACAGCUGGUCCGCCAUUUCCUCAUCGAGACUGGGCCCAAAGGGGUGAAGAUCAAGGGCUGCCCCAGUGAGCCCUACUUUGGCAGCCUGUCCGCCUUGGUCUCCCAGCACUCCAUCUCCCCCAUCUCCCUGCCCUGCUGCCUGCGCAUUCCCAGCAAAGAUCCUCUGGAAGAGACCCCAGAGGCUCCAGUGCCCACCAACAUGAGCACAGCGGCAGACCUCCUGCGUCAGGGUGCUGGUAGAGACUUCCCCUCCACUCCCCUCCCUCUCCCUGGGCACCAAGGGGGCAUUGUGGAUACAGGGCAUGGGGCACUGAAAGGCCUUGAGGUGGGUGAGCCCUGGCCAACCCAUGAGGGCAGGGGAGCCCCAUACUGUUGGGGAUGAGGAAUUGGGUCCUCAGCCUAGGUUCUCAAAGUCUCAUGAACAAGACGAUCAUGGGGUGGUAGCAGGGAGGCUUCUCUGCCUCGCUUCUGACUGUAGAUCCAGUAGAGUCAUGGAAUCUGCCUUUUUAACAAGUCACCUAUGUGAUUGUAAAGCAUGUGACAGCAGUAGCUGGGGAAUGUGCAAGAGCUGGUGGGGGUGGCUAGGGGAUGGGCACUCCCUCCCUGACCCACUCCCUGCCCCUGUAGCCUGCAGUGUGCUCUACUUGACCUCAGUGGAGACAGAGUCACUGACGGGCCCCCAAGCUGUGGCCCGGGCCAGCUCUGCAGCUCUGAGCUGUAGCCCCCGCCCGACACCAGCUGUUGUCCACUUCAAGGUGUCAGCCCAGGGCAUUACACUGACGGACAACCAAAGGAAGCUCUUCUUUCGCCGCCAUUAUCCAGUGAACAGCAUCACCUUCUCCAGCACUGACCCUCAAGACCGGAGAUGGACCAACCCAGACGGGACCACCUCCAAGAUCUUUGGUUUCGUGGCCAAGAAGCCGGGAAGCCCCUGGGAGAAUGUGUGUCACCUCUUUGCAGAGCUUGACCCAGAUCAGCCUGCUGGCGCCAUUGUCACCUUCAUCACCAAAGUUCUACUGGGCCAGAGAAAAUGAAGGAAGGCCACAAGCUCAGAGCCCACAUCGACACUGCACCCCUCCCAGCACCCCACAGCCCUCACAUCCCCUGGCCUGGACCCAGGAGACCCAGGAGAAAGCACCCUCCCUUAGGAAUGAGGAGUGGGCAUCAGGCCUGGGACACUGCUCUCCCUCCCCGCCCCCAGCCUGCUAAGUUAAGUGGACAGGCCCACAAGAUGACCUUGCAUGUGAGCAGAUGGCAGAGAUGGGUGUGUGAGGGGUGAGGAGGCAUCAGCAGUUGAGCCCCGAAGGAGAUCAGGCAGCCCCACCUACAGGAGAACGUCAGCCCUCCAGGGGAUCAGCCCCUGCCAGUUCCACCCAGCUGCAGGUCCCAGCAUGGCAGGGAUGGGAGAGGGGUGGGGAGCAAGUCACUGCCUCCUCUGAGCAGAGAUUCAGAGUAGGAUCACAU